GGAGGAGUACCCAAGUGGCUUAAGGGGACGGACUGUAAAUCCGUUAGCGGUGCUUUCACUGGUUCAAAUCCAGUCUCCUCCACCA
Molecule: transfer RNA, 85 nt
Filed under: Tissierella sp.
Lineage: Bacteria; Bacillati; Bacillota; Tissierellia; Tissierellales; Tissierellaceae
Description: tRNA-Tyr
Rfam family: tRNA
About the family: Transfer RNA (tRNA) molecules are approximately 80 nucleotides in length. Their secondary structure includes four short double-helical elements and three loops (D, anti-codon, and T loops).
Source: RNAcentral